This 824-nucleotide ribosomal RNA is filed under the name Salmonella enterica subsp. enterica serovar Inverness str. R8-3668. Its description in RNAcentral is "partial large subunit ribosomal RNA". The record is from RNAcentral. Lineage: Bacteria; Pseudomonadati; Pseudomonadota; Gammaproteobacteria; Enterobacterales; Enterobacteriaceae.
GCGUCCGAAGACGCCUCUGUUUACCGGUUAAUCAUGAUGGCGAUUAAAUCGGCGUUUUACAACAACGAAGAAUACUGGCACGAAGAAGAUAGCUAAUAAGGUUGCGGUUAACAUUCCCCCCAUAACCCCUGUGCCUACUGCGUUCUGUGCCCCACUACCUGCGCCACGACUGAUAACUAACGGCAUUACCCCGAGAAUAAAGGCCAGCGAGGUCAUUAGAAUAGGACGUAAACGCAUACGGGAUGCUUCCAGCGUCGCUUCAAUCAAUCCACGUCCUUCUUUUUCCAUGAGAUCUUUGGCGAACUCGACAAUCAGGAUGGCGUUUUUAGCAGAAAGGCCAAUAGUGGUUAACAAGCCAACCUGGAAGUAAACGUCAUUGUUCAGACCGCGCAAUGACGCUGCAAGCAGAGCGCCAACCACGCCGAGCGGUACGACCAGCAUUACCGAGAACGGAAUUGACCAGCUUUCAUACAGAGCGGCAAGGCAGAGGAAAACGACAAUGAGUGAGAUUGCGUACAGCGCCGGUGCCUGGUUACCUGACAACCGUUCCUGAUACGACAUACCUGUCCAGUCAUAGCCAAUACCGUUUGGCAGCUGUGAAGCCAGGUUUUCCAUUAACGACAUUGCUUCACCGGUACUUCGUCCGGGCGCUGCUUCACCGAGCAGUUCCAUUGACGGCAUCCCGUUAUAGCGUUCCAGGCGUGGCGAACCAUAAAUCCACCGUGCUGAGCUAAAGGUAGAGAAGGGCACCAUCUCGCCAUUAGCGCUGCGAACAUAAAGAUUGUUGAUAUCUCCCGGCAGCAUACGGAACUGAGCGUCAGCCU